AACGUAGGAGACAAACGUUAUCCGGAGUUACUGGGCGUAAAGGGCUCGUAGGCGGCCAACUAAGUCAGACGUGAAAUCCCUCAGCUUAACUGGGGAACUGCGUCUGAUACUGGAUGGCUUGGAUCCGGGAGAGGGAUGCGGAAUUCCAGGUGUAGCGGUGAAAUGCGUAGAUAUCUGGAGGAACACCGGUGGCGAAGGCGGCAUCCUGGACCGGUAUUGACGCUGAGGAGCGAAAGCCAGGGGAGCAAACGGG
This 253-nucleotide ribosomal RNA is filed under the name uncultured bacterium. Its description in RNAcentral is "partial 16S ribosomal RNA". It matches the Rfam family "Bacterial small subunit ribosomal RNA", at positions 524 to 776 of the family's 1533-position model. The record is from RNAcentral.